This 205-nucleotide long non-coding RNA is filed under the name Homo sapiens (human). RNAcentral describes it as "HSALNT0189419". Lineage: Eukaryota; Metazoa; Chordata; Mammalia; Primates; Hominidae. The record is from RNAcentral.
CAUUCCCUUAUGGCCCCAGCAGUUGGUGCCUCCUAUUGGUGGCAGUUCCUUCUCCAGGAUCCUGUAAACCAGAGGCUAUGUCAGGAGCUAAGGACAUGAUGGCCAAGAAGAACUAUGCACAGGACAAACAAGCAGGAGACAGGGUUCUGGGAGAGAAGGUGAGCUCACUUCUGCAGAUGACUCUACUCACUGGCCACACCAUGCU